Molecule: unclassified non-coding RNA, 293 nt
Filed under: uncultured Helotiales
Lineage: Eukaryota; Fungi; Ascomycota; Leotiomycetes; Helotiales
Description: sequence contains ITS1
Rfam family: 5.8S ribosomal RNA (bases 1-105)
Source: RNAcentral
GAAAUGCGAUAAGUAAUGUGAAUUGCAGAAUUCAGUGAAUCAUCGAAUCUUUGAACGCACAUUGCACCCUCUGGUAUUCCGGGGGGUAUGCCUGUUCGAGCGUCAUUACAACCCUCAAGCUCUGCUUGGUAUUGGAUGCAAUCACCAUGAUUCGUCUCAAAAUUAGUGGCGGUGCCAUUCGGCUUCCAGCGUAGUAAUUCUCUCGCUGUGGAGAUCCGGGUGUGUGCUUGCCAACAACCCCUAAAUUUUAUAAGGUUGACCUCGGAUCAGGUAGGGAUACCCGCUGAACUUAA